UACGGAGGGUGCAAGCGUUAUCCGGAUUCACUGGGUUUAAAGGGUGCGUAGGCGGGCAGGUAAGUCAGUGGUGAAAUCUCCGAGCUUAACUUGGAAACUGCCGUUGAUACUAUCUGUCUUGAAUAUUGUGGAGGUGAGCGGAAUAUGUCAUGUAGCGGUGAAAUGCUUAGAUAUGGCAUAGAACACCAAUUGCGAAGGCAGCUUACUACACAAAUAUUGACGCUGAGGCACGAAAGCGUGGGGAUCAAACAGG
RNAcentral lists this ribosomal RNA (253 nucleotides) under uncultured bacterium. RNAcentral describes it as "partial 16S ribosomal RNA". It matches the Rfam family "Bacterial small subunit ribosomal RNA", at positions 524 to 776 of the family's 1533-position model. The record is from RNAcentral.